AUGGUAGAAGCAUAAACCAAACUGAUUAGCACCCUUGAGUUCAGUGUUUCUUCACAUGUCAAUUACAAUGCAGACCAAAACACGUAGCAUAAUUUCAAAACUGAAUAUCAAAUGGUUUCAGACUUUUCUUACGUGUGUGUGUCGAGUUUUCAUGUGAUAUAAUAAAAGAUAUUUGACAAUAAUUUCUCCUACUAAUAUUUGAAAUACAUAUUAAGAAGCUAAUAAUUGAGAUGCUCAACGAAAAUACGUAUUAACAUUUCAUGACAUUCAACAACGGUAGAUACUUAACCUGGAAAAAAACAACAAUACGACGUCGUACCACUAGCACACCUGCAUGAGCGGCAACCCACAGAGACAAUCAUUAUUACUAAACGACGACGCUUCAAGAUGAUCAAACGGAAACCCUACCGGAAUCUUCCCACACAGGCGGUUAUUACUCAGAUCCAAAUGCCCAAUAUACUUCGCCGCCGAUAACGACUUCGGAAUCGCACCUUUCAGCCGAUUAUUACUCAAAUCAAGCACCGAAAAAUACGUCAUCGGAGUAAAAACAUCCGGUAAGUGACCUUCCAGAAGAUUCCGACUCAAAUUCAGUAAAUUUAAACCGGAAUUCCUCAACAAACUCGCCGGAAUCUCGCCGGAGAUCCGGUUACUGUCUAGAUUUAGCGUAGAUAACACCGGCAUCGAUCCGAUUUGUUCAGGAAUCGUUCCGGAAAUCAUGUUUGUUGACAGAUCUAGAUCCGCAAGCCGGUAGAUCUCGGAAAUCGACGCUGGAAUUGCUCCGGUGAGUUGAUUCCGGUUGAGUAACGCUCUGCUCAUCAUCGAUAGUUUUCCGAGAUCUGCCGGAAUCCCACCGGAGAUUUUAUUAUUGCUCAAAUCUAGAUGCAUUAAGCUUUUUAAAUUCACAAUCGAUGCCGGAAUCUCACCGGAGAGUUUGUUAUCCGCGACGUUUAACACUGUGAGUUUUUCUAACUUUCCGAUGUCGGAAGGUAGUUUUCCGGUGAGCUGGUUGCCGAUAAGGUCAAGAAUGCGGAGGUGAGGUAAGGCGGUGGUACACGCCGGAAUCCCGCCGGAGAUUCCUUUCCAGUCGGCGACGAUGAGUGACGUCAGCCGGUCUAGUUGACAUAACGAAGGGGAGAGUGAACCGGUCAUGUAACCGGACCGGCCGGUUUGGGUAAAUAUCUUAUCUUCAGACUCGCCACGUAGGAUAAUAUCGUUGACCCGGCUAUCAGUCGGGUCGCAGCUUACACCGUACCAGUUAGUGCAACAGUCGGAUCCGGUCCAUGUGUUAAAAAUGCCUAAAUAGGGCUCGGUCAGGGUGGACUUGAAGGAUAAUAAUGCUGCCCGGUCUGAUGGCGGGCAAGAGGUGACCACGGUGGAGGUUGCGGCGGCGAUGAGGACUGCCACCGCCACGUGUACGCCGGUAAAGAGAACAAACAGGCAGUGUCACACACAAGCCAAACAAAGACCCAGCAAUCAAAAUUCAAAGAUUCAGCAAUAAAAGUAAGUUAUCACUUCAUAUAAUCAUACAUUCAAAUAGACAAUAAAUCAGAAAUUCAGAUGUCAGAAUCAUACAAAAGUAACAUGUAACUUGCUCUUCGUUUAUUGCUGAGGUCGGACACUCGGACGUGAUUCUUGGCCUGCUCUUCGUUUAUUGCUAAAUCUUUGAAUUUUGUUUGGGGGUAACUUUGUAGAAUAGUAACCAAGUUUUUAAAGUGUUCCAAUUGGGUCACUCAAGUUUCAAAUGUGUUUCAAUCAGGUCACUCAACAUUCAUUUUUCAUUAAAAUUAAGGGUUUUCUCAUCCAUUUCAAAGGGAACUUAAUGAAAAAGAUCUCAAGUCUCGUUGUUAUAGUCUUCAAGAUGCAUUGAAGUAUAAAGACAAAUCCGAUGUUGAUGCUGAUGAACUUUAUAUGGAGUUGAAAUUGUUUGAGACAUUUU
RNAcentral lists this long non-coding RNA (1936 nucleotides) under Helianthus annuus (common sunflower). Lineage: Eukaryota; Viridiplantae; Streptophyta; Magnoliopsida; Asterales; Asteraceae. The record is from RNAcentral.